UACUUUGGCCACUGAUCUCAGUUUCCUUUCAUGAGGCUUCUAGCCAAAGAUGAUAAAGGGGGAAAUGGUUUUUAGUGCGUAUAUUAUACUGCCUCUUAGGUGUACUCUUUAUAAGCUGGUAAACCAAGAAUCUAGGGAGUGGCCAAACUAAAUAUAAUUUCUUUAAAAAAGAAAGAAAAAGGAAAAAUCCAAAAUAUCUCAGUAUCAUCUGUCUGAAGCAUUGUGUGUUCUCAUUCGGGUGGUAACAAUGUAUGUGUAAUAUUUUUUUCUUAGUGAUUUUGACAGUUUAAAUGUUUAACAACUUAAAGCAUUAAAAAUGCUUAUUAAUAACUUUGGUCAUUUAAAAAAUGCUACAAUGACUUCCUAUUAAAGGUUCAAUAUUUACACAUUCUUAUUGGUUGAUAUUACCACAUGAAAUAUUGCCAGACCAAGAUACCUAAACUCAUGAUGUCUGUGGUGCUGUAAAAUUUAUACUAAAAUGUGGACUAUUUUGAAAUUAUAACCAUUUUUGAUGCCCUGAAUCUUGAGGUGACUUAUUUUGCAUAGAGGAUAUGGAUAGACCAACAGUAAGGGUUGUGGGUUAUACCGGCAUAGAGAAAAGAAGAAAACUAGAAUUGAAACAACUGUGUCUUAGACAUUUGUUUGAAAAAGCUUCAUCAGGCCUUGGAGCAGUCACUGCUUUAUUCCGCAAAAAUUAUUUGGUAGGAAAUUUUUGGGAGAUCUGAUUUUCUUAUCCAAGUUUUGUAAAUAGUUGUUAUUUCUAUAUUUGGAUUGGUGAAAGACCUCAAGUUUAUAUGUAAAGACAUAACUGCCCUUAGUCAUGAAAUUGUUGUGACCUCUACUUUUUGUCACUAAUAGCCUACAUUCAAGUGCCUGUGUUUUUUCAUCUUGUUUAGGAAUGUUUUGAGAUUAAUGUGCUUAAAAGUCCUACGUGACUGAUUUUAAACAUUGUGAUAAAAUUAAUUUUCAGUAGAAUAGUUGAAUGUGUUAAGAUAGGAUUUUAUGUUAGAGAUACCAGAAUGCUGGUAUUCUACUACUUGUGCAAUAUAUAUGUUUUAAAAAACAAAUUUGAGAAUACAUUUAAUCAUAGGGAUAUAGAUAUAAGCACCUCUCUAAAGAAUCUUUAGUUUCCGACGUUGAAUUAUAGACCAGUUUGAGUAAGUACUGCUUUUUUUUUUUGGAGACGGGCUCUCGCUCUGUUGCUCAGGCUGGAGUGCAGUGGCGUGAUCUCAGCUCACUACAGCCUCCACCUCGUGGGUUCAAACAGUUGUGCUGCCUCAGCUUCCCGAGUAGCUAGGAUUACAGGUGCAUGCCACCACACCUGGCUAAUUUUUGUAUUUUAGUAGAGAUGGGGUUUCACCAUGUUGGCCAGGCUCGUCUCGAACUCCUGACUUCAGGUGAUCCACCCAUCUCAGCCUCCCAAAGUGCUGGGAUUACAGGCGUGAGCCACCAUGCCCGGCCCAUAAGUACCGUUUUUGAGGUUCAGUCUUAAACAUUUGCUUUAAGAAAACAGUCUUGAAUUUCACAUGCUGCUAUUUUUAUAUUUUGCCAUUUUACAGUACUGUUUUGUUUUGAAUUCAUGCAUAUCAUUGAAAAUUUCUCGUUUUCAUUUUCUUAGAUGACUUCUUGUCUGAGACAGAAAAAUUUCCUACUACAGCAGUGCAGUCCAGAGGUUAAGAUGUAUUAGAAUUAUACAAUAUCAGUUUAAAAAUCUGUAUGCAUAAAGAAUGCACCACUCAACUUUUUUAUUCAUAAGCUAAUAUUUUUUUAAAGUUACAUUAAGAUUUUUUCUCUUUUGCAGCUACAUUUGAAAGUGAUAGAAUAAAGAGAUUUUAAUGAGUUAUCACUUUUUCAGCUGAUAUAUUCAUUUUAAUGGCUUUUUUGAAAGUUCCUUUUUCAUGAACACACCCGAGAAAUCUUAAAUAGACACUUUGCAAUAUUUAAGAACCUAAUGCUGUUUAAUUUUGGUACAGCUUCCACAUUGCAUGUUCACUUUAGUAUUUGCAAUUUGAUAUAUUUCAUGGUGGCAAAAUAUUAGCUCUGUUUUGGGACAUUUUAAAAUAGAACUAUCCUUGUUCGAUAGCAUAGGAAAAUGUUCUGGUGAUUGUCAGGGUCUCCUAAUAUUUAUCUCAAUUCUUUUAUAAGUCUAUGGAAAUUAUUUAAUUAUUUUAAAACGUACACACUUUUCUUGUAAAUAUGUCACAUCUGAGUUCAAAAAAAUUACUUUGAAUACCUUAAUAUUUGCUGCAUUUUUUUCCGUAUAUAUAACAUGUCUUCUUUCAGAAUGGGAAUAUAUGUGUGCCUCCCAACAUUUACUGUUAAAGUGUGUUAUCUUUAUAUGUCAAACUGGUUGAACACUGUAAUGAGAAUAAACUGCACAGAG
Molecule: long non-coding RNA, 2383 nt
Filed under: Homo sapiens (human)
Lineage: Eukaryota; Metazoa; Chordata; Mammalia; Primates; Hominidae
Description: long non-coding RNA NONHSAT156251.1
Source: RNAcentral